RNAcentral lists this ribosomal RNA (384 nucleotides) under uncultured bacterium. RNAcentral describes it as "bacterial SSU rRNA". It matches the Rfam family "Bacterial small subunit ribosomal RNA", at positions 30 to 416 of the family's 1533-position model. The record is from RNAcentral.
AUUGAACGCUGGCGGCAUGCCUUACACAUGCAAGUCGAACGGCAGCGGACCUUCGGGUGCCGGCGAGUGGCGAACGGGUGAGUAAUAUAUCGGAACGUACCUUUCAGUGGGGGAUAACGUAGCGAAAGUUACGCUAAUACCGCAUAUUCUGUGAGCAGGAAAGCAGGGGAUCGCAAGACCUUGCGCUGAUUGAGCGGCCGAUAUCAGAUUAGCUAGUUGGUGAGGUAAAGGCUCACCAAGGCGACGAUCUGUAGCGGGUCUGAGAGGAUGAUCCGCCACACUGGAACUGAGACACGGUCCAGACUCCUACAGGAGGCAGCAGUGGGGAAUUUUGGACAAUGGGCGCAAGCCUGAUCCAGCCAUGCCGCGUGAGUGAAGAAGGCC